GGACUACAGGGGUUUCUAAUCCUGUUUGCUCCCCACGCUUUCGUGCCUCAGUGUCAAUACUCGUGAAGUAAGCUGCCUUCGCAAUUGGUGUUCUAUGUCAUAUCUAAGCAUUUCACCGCUACAUGACAUAUUCCGCUUACCUACGCGAGAUUCAAGAUCUAUAGUAUCAACGGCAGUUUCCAGGUUAAGCCUGGAGAUUUCACCACUGACUUACAGACCCACCUACGCACCCUUUAAACCCAGUGAAUCCGGAUAACGCUUGCACCCUCCGUAUUACCGCGGCUGCUGGCAC
Molecule: ribosomal RNA, 292 nt
Filed under: uncultured bacterium
Lineage: Bacteria
Also listed under: 1 other name
Description: partial 16S ribosomal RNA
Source: RNAcentral